AGCCGGUGGCACAAACUCUCCAGCCAAGCCAAAGGCCUAUGCCAAGGUUUCUUCUGUCCAGCUUGAGGCUUGGACAGAGGUCUCUUCUGUCUAGCUUCAGGCCUGCGCCAAGGUCUCUUCUGUGUAGCUUCAGGUCUGCGCCAAGGUCCCUUCUGUCCAGUUUGAGGCCUGCACCGAGGUCUCUUCUAUACGGCUUGAGGCCUACACAGAGGUCUCUUCUGUCCAGCUUGAGGCCUGCACCGUGGUCUCUUUUGUCCAGCUUUAGGUUUACACCGAGGUCUCUUCUGUCCAGCCUGAGGCAUGCACCGAGAUUUGUCCUGUCCAGCCUGAGGUUUGUGCCGAGGUCUCUUCUAUACGGCUUGAGGCCUACACAGAGGUCUCUUCUGUCCAGCUUGAGGCCUGCACCGAGAUCUGUCCUGUCCAGCCUGAGGUUUGUGCCGAGGUGUCUUCUGUUCAGCUUUAGGUUUGUGCCGUGGUCUCUUCUGUUCAAUCCAGUCUACCAGUCGACUCUGGAGAGACGAGCUCUGACCCUUAAGAAGAUUCGUGUUCUCCACCUCAUGACUCCGACAAAGACGUUGUUGCUCUGCUCCUGACUCUGACA
Molecule: long non-coding RNA, 601 nt
Organism: Ictalurus punctatus (channel catfish)
Lineage: Eukaryota; Metazoa; Chordata; Actinopteri; Siluriformes; Ictaluridae
Source: Ensembl